GUCGAACGGUGAAGCCCAGCUUGCUGGGUGGAUCAGUGGCGAACGGGUGAGUAACACGUGAGCAACCUGCCCCUGACUCUGGGAUAAGCGCUGGAAACGGCGUCUAAUACUGGAUAUGUGACGUGACCGCAUGGUCUGCGUCUGGAAAGAAUUUCGGUUGGGGAUGGGCUCGCGGCCUAUCAGCUUGUUGGUGAGGUAAUGGCUCACCAAGGCGUCGACGGGUAGCCGGCCUGAGAGGGUGACCGGCCACACUGGGACUGAGACACGGCCCAGACUCCUACGGGAGGCAGCAGUGGGGAAUAUUGCACAAUGGGCGCAAGCCUGAUGCAGCAACGCCGCGUGAGGGAUGACGGCCUUCGGGUUGUAAACCUCUUUUAGCAGGGAAGAAGCGAAAGUGACGGUACCUGCAGAAAAAGCGCCGGCUAACUACGUGCCAGCAGCCGCGGUAAUACGUAGGGCGCAAGCGUUAUCCGGAAUUAUUGGGCGUAAAGAGCUCGUAGGCGGUUUGUCGCGUCUGCUGUGAAAUCCGGAGGCUCAACCUCCGGCCUGCAGUGGGUACGGGCAGACUAGAGUGCGGUAGGGGAGAUUGGAAUUCCUGGUGUAGCGGUGGAAUGCGCAGAUAUCAGGAGGAACACCGAUGGCGAAGGCAGAUCUCUGGGCCGUAACUGACGCUGAGGAGCGAAAGGGUGGGGAGCAAACAGGCUUAGAUACCCUGGUAGUCCACCCCGUAAACGUUGGGAACUAGUUGUGGGGUCCAUUCCACGGAUUCCGUGACGCAGCUAACGCAUUAAGUUCCCCGCCUGGGGAGUACGGCCGCAAGGUAA
RNAcentral lists this ribosomal RNA (824 nucleotides) under Microbacterium sp. HCA1-5_Pa. RNAcentral describes it as "bacterial SSU rRNA". It matches the Rfam family "Bacterial small subunit ribosomal RNA", at positions 61 to 896 of the family's 1533-position model. Lineage: Bacteria; Bacillati; Actinomycetota; Actinomycetes; Micrococcales; Microbacteriaceae. The record is from RNAcentral.